Molecule: ribosomal RNA, 460 nt
Filed under: uncultured bacterium
Lineage: Bacteria
Description: partial 16S ribosomal RNA
Rfam family: Bacterial small subunit ribosomal RNA
Source: RNAcentral
CCUACGGGUGGCAGCAGUGAGGAAUAUUGGUCAAUGGACGAGAGUCUGAACCAGCCAAGUAGCGUGAAGGAUGACUGCCCUAUGGGUUGUAAACUUCUUUUAUAUGGGAAUAAAACGUUCCACGUGUGGGAUUUUGUAUGUACCAUAUGAAUAAGGAUCGGCUAACUCCGGGCCAGCAGCCGCGGUAAUACGGAGUCUCCGAGCGUUAUCCGGAUUUAUUGGGUUUAAAGGGUGCGUAGGUGGAUUGUUAAGUCAGUUGUGAAAGUUUGCGGCUCAACCGUAAAAUUGCAGUUGAAACUGGCAGUCUUGAGUACAGUAGAGGUGGGCGGAAUUCGUGGUGUAGCGGUGAAAUGCUUAUAUAUCACGAAGAACUCCGAUUGCGAAGGCAGUUCACUGGACUGCAACUGACACUGAGGCUCGAAAGUGUGGGUAUCAAACAGGAGUAGAUACCCGAGUAGUC